UACAGGGGGGGCAAGCGUUGUUCGGAAUUACUGGGCGUAAAGGGCUCGUAGGUGGCCAACUAAGUCGAACGUGAAAUCCCCGGGCUCAACCCGGGAACUGCGUCCGAUACUGGCAGGCUUGAAUCCGGGAGAGGGAUGCGGAAUUCCAGGUGUAGCGGUGAAAUGCGUAGAUAUCUGGAGGAACACCGGUGGCGAAGGCGGCAUCCUGGACCGGCAUUGACGCUGAGGCGCGAAAGCCAGGGGAGCGAACGGG
RNAcentral lists this ribosomal RNA (253 nucleotides) under uncultured bacterium. RNAcentral describes it as "partial 16S ribosomal RNA". It matches the Rfam family "Bacterial small subunit ribosomal RNA", at positions 524 to 776 of the family's 1533-position model. The record is from RNAcentral.